AUUCCCCUGGGGUGCUCGUUACGGUUUCAAUUCUUUGAGCCGAUAAUCAUCUAACCCUGGCUGUCGACCCGAUGGGUGCUGUUGUGCGCGUCCUACCUGGAAUCGCCUGAUGCAUCCGGCAGACAGCCACCUUCUAGAGGCUUGGGUUCAAGAUGCCGACCGGACGACACCUGCGGGGGACCC
Molecule: non-coding RNA, 183 nt
Filed under: Betaproteobacteria bacterium
Lineage: Bacteria; Pseudomonadati; Pseudomonadota; Betaproteobacteria
Description: 6S RNA
Rfam family: 6S / SsrS RNA
About the family: E. coli 6S RNA was the first non coding RNA to be sequenced, but its function was unknown until recently. It consists of 184 nucleotides that fold into an extended hairpin structure with a large single-stranded internal bulge.
Source: RNAcentral